RNAcentral lists this transfer RNA (73 nucleotides) under Camponotus floridanus (Florida carpenter ant). It matches the Rfam family "tRNA". From Rfam's summary of the family: Transfer RNA (tRNA) molecules are approximately 80 nucleotides in length. Their secondary structure includes four short double-helical elements and three loops (D, anti-codon, and T loops). Lineage: Eukaryota; Metazoa; Arthropoda; Insecta; Hymenoptera; Formicidae. The record is from Rfam by way of RNAcentral.
GUCUGGAUAGCUCAGUGGUCUAGAGCAGUUGCCCGGAAAGCGAAAGGCUGGGGUUCGAUUCCUGAUCCAAUUA